This 766-nucleotide unclassified non-coding RNA is filed under the name Hevea brasiliensis (rubber tree). Lineage: Eukaryota; Viridiplantae; Streptophyta; Magnoliopsida; Malpighiales; Euphorbiaceae. The record is from RNAcentral.
AAAAAAAAAAAAAAAAGGCUCAGAAGCAGGACCGCUAACACUAGCCUGUAAGAGCAGCGUUGAGAGCACUAUGCACAUCAACUCCAAUUUGGGCUUCAGCUUUCUCCAGGUCAGUUGAGGCUGAGCUUAGCUUCUGGGUGAACUCUGCAAGUCCCUUCUGCACCAGGCUGGCAUCAAUUUGAUCAAGUGGCACAGCCUCAACAGCAAUUAUAUCUGCAAAAGAAUUUGCAUGGAUGAAUGCAAAGCCACUGCUAACAAAAUACUUUGUCACUUCAUUCCCUUCAUGCACAGAUAAUAACCCAGGUUUCAACUCUGCAAUUGUUGAUACGUGUCCAGGAAGAACACCCAUUUGCCCUGUAGUUGAUGGAAUUAUAACCAUGUCAACCUCUUUAUUGGACAACUCAGAAGCAUAGGGGAGCACGAAGCUAACGGUGAGUUUGGAAGGGAUAGCAGAGGGAGUAGGAGGGCGGGGCUGCAUGAAGGAGAGAGGGGUCUUGGGUGGCUCCAUGUUUGGGAUCACUUUCUUCCACGCUUCCACGAAGCUGGAGUCAGUGGUCUGAGGGGCCGGGAGAUCCGUCGAGAAGGGUCGAGCCCUGCAGCUAAGAAUGGGUCGGGCCAGGAGUCCGGUGGCUCGGCGCAGCAUUUUCAGAUAGUUGAGUCGCUCGGAUCUCGCAAGGUCGGAGUGGAGAAACGAGAGCGUUUGGAAUUGGCACUGGGCAGCAAAUGAGUGCUGAUGUGAUUGGUUAGUGAGACACUUGGGGCAUCU